Molecule: long non-coding RNA, 219 nt
Organism: Daphnia pulex (common water flea)
Lineage: Eukaryota; Metazoa; Arthropoda; Branchiopoda; Diplostraca; Daphniidae
Exons: 2
Source: RefSeq, a predicted model, not a curated record
UUUUUUUUAGAUUCCCCCCGCGCCUCGUGUACACUCGUAAAUUGCAUGUGAUCAACUCGACAACAAAAUCACGACACUACACACACUCGAGAUCUGGACGAUCAUUUCUCCGUUUCCUGUUGACUUUUAACCAAACCGGACAAUUUGCUGGCGCUAGUGUCGUUUAUUUUAAAAAACCACAAAAAAGAAUAAAAAAUAAAAUUCUUUUUUAAAAAGAAA